Phyllostomus discolor (pale spear-nosed bat) is the source of this 176-nucleotide long non-coding RNA. RefSeq lists it as uncharacterized. NCBI's taxonomy places the organism in Eukaryota, Metazoa, Chordata, Mammalia, Chiroptera, Phyllostomidae. The record is from RefSeq and is a predicted model, not a curated record. The transcript has 3 exons.
CGUGUUAGGUGACAGCUUCAUUUGUUUUUGGUUCAGGUGUGGAUGUUAAUAACUGUGUUUGCUGUCAUUUUACUGUUCAUAUUUUUUAUCUUUUUUUCUUAAAUAAACCCCUUUAACAUUUCAUAUAAUAAGGGCUUGGUGAUGAUGAACUCCUUUAACUUGACCUUAUCUGAGAA